Molecule: ribosomal RNA, 253 nt
Filed under: uncultured bacterium
Lineage: Bacteria
Description: partial 16S ribosomal RNA
Rfam family: Bacterial small subunit ribosomal RNA
Source: RNAcentral
UACAGAGGUCUCAAGCGUUGUUCGGAUUCAUUGGGCGUAAAGGGUGCGUAGGCGGCGCGGUAAGUCGGGCGUGAAAUCUCGGAGCUUAACUCCGAAACUGCAUUCGAUACUGCCGUGCUUGAGGACUGGAGAGGAGACUGGAAUUUACGGUGUAGCGGUGAAAUGCGUAGAUAUCAUAAGGAAGACCAGUGGCGAAGGCGGGUCUCUGGACAGUUCCUGACGCUGAGGCACGAAGGUCAGGGGAGCAAACGGG